GUCCUCGCCCCAUGGCGAUACAUACACACACCAAGAUUAGCUGGUAGAUGAUGACAAUAAGGUCAUCCGGUCGAAGGUUAUGAACAUUAAAAAAGCAGACAA
This 102-nucleotide non-coding RNA is filed under the name unclassified sequences. The record is from Rfam.